UGGCAAGGUUGAAUCAGCCUUUAUUUUCUGAUGGUGAUGACGCUCUCACAAGACUGAUACCAGCCUCAAGUGCAAAAUGGGGUGAGUCACACUCCUUCAAAGGUUCCAGUGUUGGCACCAAUCUCUCGAUACCCAACACGGUACCUGAUUUUUAGUGAUGAAUCAAGGCUCACCCAUCUUGGCGUUGGAUGUGGUCUAUGGUCAGUGGCGGAGCAUUCCUAACAUUUCCAAACUGAUUACACUUAAUUUAAAUGCGUUGCCGUAUUAGUUAUAUUUGCAAGUUAGUAAAAAUUAUGUGUACUAAAUCAUCUUAAUCAAUCAUGAUGGAGAGUUCACCGCAGGGAUCGACGCAUCGGACGGUCGGCGUUGCUGCUUUAAGGCAGCUAUAUUGGUCGUCGCAUCUCUUAAAUUAACGGAGUAGAUACCCGCGGUCAUAAUUAAUUGCUCCAGAACGCGUUCGUUACCCCCCUAAUCGCAACAACACCGCUUCAUCCUCUGUAGAUCGCCUUGAUCCUCGGUGGCUGGUGGCUAGCGGCACAGUGAAUCAUCAACAAUAUUAUGCUUCCGAAGACAACUUGCAUCUCCGGGUAAUAGGGUUAUUUUCUUGGCUCCAUGCUUUCAUCUUGUGUUUUAUAGAUGACUUUGAUCGUCUCGAUGAGGCCUUCUUUUCUUUUAUCAGGGAGCUUUGGUCGGUUAAAUUUUAACUGGAUUGGGUCAACAAGUUGACCCGAAACCUCGUAUCUCGGGACUAAGAACCGAUCAAAGACCGUGUUCUUAACGAUUUUGAUCAGGGUUUACUGAAAGAGAAGUCUGUUUCAAAGACCGUUCUGCAGUAAAAAUCCCUCUUCUUCAUUUGUUGUGUUGUCAGAUCCGAGUGUUGGUACAUUCUGACCACGUGGAAGCAUUGCAGUUAAAGGCCACCGCAUGUCUCGUCCAAAAGAGAUGCAACCUUUUCUUUUGUCGAAGAAAGGGGCGUGAGACUUCAGAUCUCGUGGGAGAUCAACCAGACGUGCUUACGAUGGCCGUGGAUACCCAUCAUGAGAUUUGCUGCCUUUAUGUCGCCAUUUUCGAGACGCCUGUAGUUUACGAGAGUUUAGACCGCAUUUAUACGAACAUCUGCUGGGAGUUACGGUAUCACCUUAUACUUCUCUUGCAUUUUCUCUUUACAUCUUUCUCUCUCUAAACUAAAUUCUGUAUCAAAUUAUAUCCACCGGUAGUCUAGACUUUUCCAUUUGAUACGUACUUGGGGGCUGAGAUAUUACGUAGACUUGGCUAUAACUCAUGCACAAUGCUCUCUUCUAAAUUUUAUUUGAACUACUUAUGAGGUUAAAUCAAGGAAAAGGGAUAAACUUUUUCGAGAGUGGGUUCAGGAAUGCUGUACUUUGUCCGAUUUCUUAUUUUAAUGAUGUUGGACAAAGUGGCGUGUAAUAAUGAAUCAAUUGGUUGGUGAGGUAGAAUUGAUGUAAAUAAAACCCAUGGCAUGGGUGUGGAACAGAGGAAACAUAAUGGUAGGGUGGGUGGGGUUGUGGACAUCAUCAAUGAUGGUAAAUCAUAAGACAAAUAAGGGAGGAAUUCUGCUGCUUGGUGCAGUUCUUCCAACAUCUUCUGCUUCCCUUUUCCCUUGUUCCCAUGGUAAAAGAAAGUGGGGUAUACAUUUUAAUUUUAAUAGCUAGGUAGUUUUAUAUUUAUGUAUCUCGUUUAUAAGCUUCUUGAUGAGAAAAGGUAAAGAAAAUUAGGUUGUGGGAGCUGAAAAUUGAAAGAGGGAGAAAGAAAGAAACCUUCUAGGGCCGUGAACGAUCAUCAUGUAGAGAGAAAAAGUUGCCUUUUUGCCUACCAAGAUAAGCUUUUAAUAUCGAAGCUCAAAAAGAGGGUAAGAGCAUCACAGCGAGUUCUUUAAUUCUGACAAAGAAAUUGACUUCGUCGAAAGAUAGAUCAGAGGAUGGAAUGCGAGUGGCCAUCGCUAAUACUUGUGCUAUGCAUUAAAUAUCAAUUGUCCAUAUACUCAGAAGUCUUUGCUUUUAGUCUUUCUCCAUGGCACAGACUGCACUAGCUCUUCGAGUAGUACUUUUGCUGGUCCUGGGUUUGUGCCUGUUGCACAGACCACAUUUUAUUUGUAGUUACAGCUCUCUGACAAAUUUAAUCUGUCCGCUAAUUAGCAGCUGAGACUGGGCCUAAGAGGCGGAAGCCACACCUGCACCUACAUUGUCAUUCAAGUGGUUGUAACAAGUGUUCUUUAAUCUACUCUAAUUCCUCCAAGUGGUCAUUGAACCUACGUGACACAACAGAAAAUGUUGAAGACCAAGACAUGGCCUUUGUUCCUGUUUAAGCGAGCGAGAGUUGGCGCUACAACCGAGGGAAGAAGACAGAUUUGUAGGUGCGGAAGGCCGGAAAGAUCGCUGAUCUGAUGUUAAUUGAAGGCCGAAUUAUGGAUGGAAAGAAGAUAUUGCUGAAAAAUAUUAUAUGUUAACCUUCUUGAUGACAAAAGUGUUCUUUUUUGUUCAUCAUAUUACUUCCCCCGACGACAGAUCUUGUAGAAGGAUAUCUUGGAUGUGGCUUUCUAGACCCUAUAUGUCUUUUUCUUUCCUAGAAAAUUUUAUUCUUUUUGCUCUCUGUCCACUUUACUCUUUGUUAUUUUCUUUCUUAUUUUUUGUUCUUUUUACUGAAAUAAAAGACACCCUUUGUUCUUUUAUCUUUCUUGAACCAUCAUUUGCCGAGAAUGAAACUAAAACUUAUCUCAGGAGCGAGAGAGGCACUUCUUUUCAUAAAUUUAGGCCCUAUAUGAACAAUAUACAUAAGAUACUUUUUUGGAUCUAUAACAAAAUAUUACUUAAAAAAAUUCAAUUGUAAAAAAUUUUGUGUCUUUAGUUAGUCCGGGUGAUGAAUGCCUUUAAUUUGUGCUCAAAUACAACAAAGAUAAUCCAGUCUCUUUUGUCAUACAUUGUAUGUGUAAGGCUUUGUUUUUGUUCUUAUUUAAUUUUUUUGUUUCAAAAGCAAUUUGCAUUUUAGAUUUGAUAGCAUGUUUAGAUUCCAUGAGGAAGAAGUUAUUUGCCUUUGAAACAGGGAGAAUGGAUUUAAUGAAAGUUGAAGAAUAUGUGUCAGAAAUUUAUCAGAUUAGGAGCAAUUGAGGGUGAAGUAUUCAUCCAUUAAAAUUGUGAAUCUUAGGAAUAAUAAAUGCAAAAUUUCUAAUUGAGAAUUUCAAAGAAUCCGAUUUCAUAUGAUUUGAACAAGCAGAAUCGAAUGCAUGAGAUUAGAACCUGGUUGACUAUGGCUUCAGCCAAAAGUGUUGUGCUAAUGGAGAAAGAUUCGGUAGUCGCAGCUGUAGUGGGUUUUUUCAGCAACUUUAUGAUAUUCUUGAUUUGUAUGGCCAAUCUUAUGACAAUAUAUGCAAAUUGACUUUUUCAACUUUUCAUUGAAAUUACUCAUAGCCACGGUUGAGGUAGAGGGUAAAGAACUCCUUAAGAGGGGUUCUGGGACUCUUACAACAAGGAGAUGCACUACAACCACCAUGACGAUCUCAUCAGUGAUUGACCAUUGUCGUACGUGAUCCACUCCUUGAGGAGGUAUCGUGUACAAGUGUUUGCCAUGCUUGAUUGAGGGGAUCCAUUUGAUUGGGCAAAGGAGAUCUGAAAGAGGGGCUUGAUUUGAUCUCAAUUGGUGAUGCGUAGAGAAGGUGGAAGCAUACUUGAGAGAGAGAAUAAUCUAUCAUCCUUCUUGCAGUGUUGCAAGCUGAGUCAACAUGGUGGAUGAUGUGGCUACGAUGAAAUCAAUGAAGUAGGGAGCUUGCUUAUUGUUGGUAGUGGUGAACAAAGUGGUGACCACGAUGAUUCAAUGAAGCGGGGAAGGAAGCAACAACUUGCUUGUUGUCGACAACGAUGAACAAAGAGGAGAGUCGUUGUUGGAGGGGAGUCACCGUCAAUCGUUGGUGAGUCACCAAGGAUAGGGAAGCAAGGAGUCACCGAUCAUUGGUGAGUCACGUCGAGGCAGGGAAGAAGGGAUGCAGAUGGUUGAUGAUGAGAUUUUCGAGAUGAAUCAAGUACUGUCGGAGGUAUGUCAGUGAACAAGGAAAGGUUGGAGUGAGGAAAUCAUCGUCAUUGUUGUUCAAGAUGAAAGGAUACUAUAUUAGAAUGAAAAAGAAGAAAUUUUAUU
Molecule: long non-coding RNA, 4146 nt
Organism: Musa acuminata AAA Group (dessert banana)
Lineage: Eukaryota; Viridiplantae; Streptophyta; Magnoliopsida; Zingiberales; Musaceae
Exons: 3
Source: RefSeq, a predicted model, not a curated record